GCGGCGGACGGGUGAGUAAUGCCUAGGAAUCUGCCCGAUAGUGGGGGACAACGUUUCGAAAGGAACGCUAAUACCGCAUACGUCCUACGGGAGAAAGUGGGGGAUCUUCGGACCUCACGCUAUCGGAUGAGCCUAGGUCGGAUUAGCUAGUUGGUGAGGUAAUGGCUCACCAAGGCGACGAUCCGUAACUGGUCUGAGAGGAUGAUCAGUCACACUGGAACUGAGACACGGUCCAGACACCUACGGGAGGCAGCAGUGGGGAAUAUUGGACAAUGGGCGAAAGCCUGAUCCAGCCAUGCCGCGUGUGUGAAGAAGGUCUUCGGAUUGUAAAGCACUUUAAGUUGGGAGGAAGGGCUGUCGGCUAAUACCCUGCAGUUUUGACGUUACCAACAGAAUAAGCACCGGCUAACUUCGUGCCAGCAGCCGCGGUAAUACGAAGGGUGCAAGCGUUAAUCGGAAUUACUGGGCGUAAAGCGCGCGUAGGUGGUUCAGCAAGUUGGAUGUGAAAGCCCCGGGCUCAACCUGGGAACUGCAUCCAAAACUACUGGGCUAGAGUAUGGUAGAGGGUGGUGGAAUUUCCUGUGUAGCGGUGAAAUGCGUAGAUAUAGGAAGGAACACCAGUGGCGAAGGCGACCACCUGGACUAAUACUGACACUGAGGUGCGAAAGCGUGGGGAGCAAACAGGAUUAGAUACCCUGGUAGUCCACGCCGUAAACGAUGUCAACUAGUUGUUGGGUUCCUUGAGGACUUAGUAACGAAGCUAACGCGAUAAGUUGACCGCCUGGGGAGUACGGCCGCAAGGUUAAAACUCAAAUGAAUUGACGGGGG
RNAcentral lists this ribosomal RNA (828 nucleotides) under uncultured bacterium. RNAcentral's name for it is "bacterial SSU rRNA". It matches the Rfam family "Bacterial small subunit ribosomal RNA", at positions 95 to 919 of the family's 1533-position model. The record is from RNAcentral.